This is a long non-coding RNA of Mauremys reevesii (Reeves's turtle), 317 nucleotides long. RefSeq lists it as uncharacterized. The record is from RefSeq and is a predicted model, not a curated record. The transcript has 3 exons. Lineage: Eukaryota; Metazoa; Chordata; Testudines; Geoemydidae.
UUAACUUUCUCACAAACCCUCUGUGAAGUGAAUCCCUUCGCCAAGCCUCCCCUGUGGGGAGCACAGCAGCUUGGCACUUCUACAAUACCUUUCAUCCAAGCUAAGACAACUUUGCAAAGAUGGGGUUUGCUGGCCCAGCUUGGUGACAUGGUAUAGCAGGCCCCCUCCCUGCGCAGCAGCUGCCAGAGCCGGUGAGACGUGCCCAGCAGGAAGAGAUGACAAAAUUGAGGGAGAGAUGGGAAGACCUAAAUUUUCAUCACGGGAAUACAAGAAGUUAAUUUCCCAAGGUCACACUGGAAGACAGGGUAGACAAUUUG